AGUACCAGCUGGAGCUCUUUAUUGCUCUGACCUAUUGGAUGAUUUGCUGAAGUCUGAGAGUUUCUCCCUCCAGAGAUCCCUAAUCACUCAAAAAUUUCCAGUUGAGAUCUGAAGUUUAUUCCACUGCAGAACUCCUUUUCUGAGAGUUCUUACUUCUAACAAGGAAGAAGACUUUCCUGCUUCCGUGAUGGCAGAGAGCAGUUUUCAGCUUGUGCCCCAUCUCCAGGGUGAAAGAUAUCUCCUUCAAAGCUUUUCAGGGGCCCAACUGGAAAAUCUUAAUGUUAAUUUAAGGUCAAAAGACAUAAUUUAGAAUUUGUUUUGGACAGGCACAUAGACCAAUGGAACAGACUAGAGAACUCAGAAAUAAAAUCACACCUCUACAACCAUCUGAUCUUCAACAAAGUUGACAAAAACAAGCAAUGGGGAAGUGAUUCUCUAUUUAACAAGUGGUGCUGUGAGAACUGGCUAGCCAUAUGCAAAAAUUGAAACUGGACCCCUUCCUUACACCGUAUACAAAAAUUAACUCAAGAUGGAUUAAAGACUUAAAUGUAAAACCCGAAAUUAUAAAAACCCUAGAAGAAAAUCUAGGCAAUACCAUUCAGGACACAGACGUGGGCAAAGAUUUUACGAUGAAAUUGCCAAAAACAAAAGCAAUGGCAACAAAAGCAAAAAUUGACAAAUGGGAUUUAAUUAAACUAAAGAGCUUCUGCACAGCGAAAGAAACUAUCAUCAGAGCAAACAGGCAGAAGAAGGUGGAAGGAGCUGACUUGCUGAGUCUUCCCACCUUCAUCUUUCUCUUGUGCUGAUGCUUCCUGCCCUCGAACAUUGAACUCCAAGUUCUUCAGCUUUUGGACUCUUGGAAACUUACACCAGUAAUUUGCCAGGGGCUGUUAGGCCUUCAGCCACAGACUGAAAGCCGCAUUGUUAGCUUCCCAACUUUUGAGGUUUGGGAACUCAGACUGAACCACCACUGGCUUCUUUGCUCCUCGGCUUGCAGGCAGCCUAUCAUGGGACUUCACCUUGUGAUCGUGUGAGUCAACUCUCCUUAAUAAACUAGAAUAUUUCUCAGAAGCCUGAACAACAUAACUUCUAAGACAAAGAUUUUUUGUGUGGACCAACUCACACUCUCCUUAAUAAACUCUCCUUAAUAAACUCCUUUCAUAUAUACAUAUA
Long non-coding RNA from Homo sapiens (human), 1173 nucleotides. The record is from Ensembl. NCBI's taxonomy places the organism in Eukaryota, Metazoa, Chordata, Mammalia, Primates, Hominidae.